AGUGAACGCUGGCGGUAGGCCUAACACAUGCAAGUCGAACGGCAGCACAGUAAGAGCUUGCUCUUACGGGUGGCGAGUGGCGGACGGGUGAGGAAUACAUCGGAAUCUACUUUUUCGUGGGGGAUAACGUAGGGAAACUUACGCUAAUACCGCAUACGACCUACGGGUGAAAGCAGGGGAUCUUCGGACCUUGCGCGAUUGAAUGAGCCGAUGUCGGAUUAGCUAGUUGGCAGGGUAAAGGCCCACCAAGGCGACGAUCCGUGGCUGGUCUGAGAGGAUGAUCAGCCACACUGGAACUGAGACACGGUCCAGACUCCUACGGGAGGCAGCAGUGGGGAAUAUUGGACAAUGGGCGCAAGCCUGAUCCAGCCAUACCGCGUGGGUGAAGAAGGCCUUCGGGUUGUAAAGCCCUUUUGUUGGGAAAGAAAAGCAGCAGGUUAAUACCCCGCUGUUCUGACGGUACCCAAAGAAUAAGCACCGGCUAACUUCGUG
This 492-nucleotide ribosomal RNA is filed under the name uncultured bacterium. RNAcentral's name for it is "partial 16S ribosomal RNA". It matches the Rfam family "Bacterial small subunit ribosomal RNA", at positions 29 to 507 of the family's 1533-position model. The record is from RNAcentral.